CCUACGGGAGGCAGCAGUGAGGAAUAUUGGUCAAUGGACGAGAGUCUGAACCAGCCAAGUAGCGUGAAGGAUGACUGCCCUAUGGGUUGUAAACUUCUUUUAUAUGGGAAUAAAAUGUUCCACGUGUGGGAUUUUGUAUGUACCAUAUGAAUAAGGAUCGGCUAACUCCGUGCCAGCAGCCGCCGUAAUACGGAGGAUCCGAGCGUUAUCCGGAUUUAUUGGGUUUAAAGGGAGCGUAGGUGGAUUGUUAAGUCAGUUGUGAAAGUUUGCGGCUCAACCGUAAAAUUGCAGUUGAAACUGGCAGUCUUGAGUACAGUAGAGGUGGGCGGAAUUCGUGGUGUAGCGGUGAAAUGCUUAGAUAUCACGAAGAACUCCGAUUGCGAAGGCAGUUCACUGGACCGCAACUGACACUGAGGCUCGAAAGUGUGGGUAUCAAACAGGAUUAGAUACCCCAGUAGUC
This 460-nucleotide ribosomal RNA is filed under the name uncultured bacterium. RNAcentral's name for it is "partial 16S ribosomal RNA". It matches the Rfam family "Bacterial small subunit ribosomal RNA", at positions 338 to 795 of the family's 1533-position model. The record is from RNAcentral.